Molecule: ribosomal RNA, 571 nt
Filed under: Tuber cf. ferrugineum MA2721
Lineage: Eukaryota; Fungi; Ascomycota; Pezizomycetes; Pezizales; Tuberaceae
Description: eukaryotic LSU rRNA
Rfam family: Eukaryotic large subunit ribosomal RNA
Source: RNAcentral
GAAAAGAAACCAACAGGGAUUGCCUYAGUAACGGCGAGUGAAGCGGCAAAAGCUCAAAUUUGAAAUCUGGCGCCUCUGGUGUCCGAGUUGUAAUUUGGAGAGGCAUCUUCCGGAGGGGUCCAGCCUAUGUUCCUUGGAACAGGACAUCAUAGAGGGUGAGAAUCCCGUUCAUGGCUGGAUAUACCCUUCAGUAGGUAGUGCCUUCUACGAGUCGAGUUGUUUGGGAAUGCAGCUCAAAAUGGGUGGUAAAUUUCAUCUAAAGCUAAAUAUUGGCGAGAGACCGAUAGCGCACAAGUAGAGUGAUCGAAAGAUGAAAAGCACUUUGAAAAUAGAGUCAAACAGUACGUGAAAUUGUUGAAAGGGAAGCGCUUGAGACCAGACUCAGCCUUGGGCAAACAGCCUUCCUUCUGGGUGGUGCACUUGCCCUUGGCUGGGCCAGCAUCAGUUAGGGUGGUGGAAUAAAGGCUUGAGGAAUGUGACUCCACUUAGGAGUGUUAUAGCCUCAGGUGCCAUCCCACCUGCCCUGACUGUGGACCGCGCUUUGGCUAGGAUGCUGGCGUAAUGGUCUUUA